AUUGAACGCUGGCGGCAGGCCUAACACAUGCAAGUCGAGCGAGCGGCGGACGGGUGAGUAAUGUCUGGGAAACUGCCUGAUGGAGGGGGAUAACUACUGGAAACGGUAGCUAAUACCGCAUACCAUCAGAUGUGCCCAGAUGGGCUUAGCUAGUUGGUGGGGUAAAGGCCUAACAAGGCGACGAUCUGUAGCGGGUCUGAGAGGUUGAACCGCUAAACUGGGACGGAGACACGGACCAGGCUCCUACGGGAGGCAGCAGUGGGGAAUAUUGGACAAUGGGGGGAACCCUGAUCCAGCCAGGCCGCGUGUGUGAAGAAGGCCUUAUGGUUGUAAAGCACGUUAAGCGAGGAGGCGUUACUCGCAGAAUAAGCACCGGCUAACUCGGUGCCAGCAGCCGCGGUAAUUC
This 406-nucleotide ribosomal RNA is filed under the name uncultured bacterium. RNAcentral describes it as "partial 16S ribosomal RNA". It matches the Rfam family "Bacterial small subunit ribosomal RNA", at positions 29 to 526 of the family's 1533-position model. The record is from RNAcentral.